GCCCCCGGGGGGGGGGCGGGGGGCCGGGGGACAGGGGACAGGGGACGGGGAAGUCCCGCACCCCGCUCCCCUCACCCCAUCCACCCCCGUGCACCCCGUCGGCCCUUGGGAGGCCGCGGGGGCUUCGCUCCCGGACGCCCCCCGCGCACCUCGCCCCGUGCUGUCGCUGCCGGUGUCGCUGCCGGUGUCGGUGUCGCUGCCGGUCGUGGUGGCGGUGGUGGUGGCGGUGGUGAUGUCCCUGCGGCCGCCCCCCGCCCCCGCCGGCCCCUCCUGGCUGCCCGGCUGCGAGCCGAUGGGAGGGCCGAGCGGCAAUUCAUCUUGAUUUGCCUUCAUUGUCCGGAGCUGGCGAACUAUAAUCCUGUAUAAUUUCACGAACAAGCAGGUUUAGAAUUAAUGGGUCACUAUUAUUUAAAACAAAACACGCGAGAGCACGACCUUUCCCUUCAACUACAAGCUGCAGCGCCGAGCCGCAGGAAACUCGGGGCUAACCUCUCACCCCCCGUGCUCGGCGGGGCUGCGGUUAUUUGGGCUGCUCUUUGUUUCUCUUAAUGUCUGCAAGGGGAUUUGGAAGCAGAAAUGUAAUAUUACAUGAAGGAUCUCCCCGCUUCGGGGAGAAGGUGAUCGCAGGGGGCGGCCGAGGGGACAGAUUAUUUCGCACGGGAGCGCGGGAGAAAUUUAUGCUCGAGAUACAGCAACUUCGUCGCUGGCAAUUCUUGAGGCCGGCUAUGUCAAAUAAUCCAUUUUCUCGGGGCUGCGCAUGGGAGCAGUGGCAGCCCGGCCGCCCGGCGCACACAGGAGGCAGUGCUUCUCGCAUACGACUUCAGCCGUUUGCACGCGGGCAGGAUCUGGCCUGGGGAUCUGUGUAGCGCGGCGCUGGGUCCCAUAAAUCUCGGAGGGGGGAAAGGGCGGCGAGGCGCUCGUCGAAUUGUGAAACCAACCGCGGGAGCAAACGCAAGGAAGGGCACGUCGGGAGCGCCUCCGAGUGAAGCGAAAGCCCUUGUGUAUUUUACAUCUUUUUCUCAUUAGAGGCAGCGCAGGUUGCAGCCUGUUCCAAGUCGCUUUCUUGGCUAAUGUUUUCAUUAGGGUUUCGAUCAAAAGGAGCAGGACGCAGCGCACGGCGAGGGCGAAACGUGCAGCGAGCCGGAGUCCAGAGAGAGAGAGAAAGAUCCCAAUCUGUCUCGCCUUAACAGAAACGUCCCACUCCGCGCUGCAUUUGUGCAAAGGCUCUGAAGCUGGCGUACUACCCGAAAUCGAAAGCAGCUGCAAACGUCUCGGCCCCCUCCCCUUCGCCCCCCCGACCCCCGCCGGCCG
Molecule: long non-coding RNA, 1311 nt
Organism: Oxyura jamaicensis (ruddy duck)
Lineage: Eukaryota; Metazoa; Chordata; Aves; Anseriformes; Anatidae
Exons: 3
Source: RefSeq, a predicted model, not a curated record